UGCUACCUGACCUAGCGGCGGACGGGUGAGUAAUGCUUAGGAAUCUGCCUAUUAGUGGGGGACAACAUUCCGAAAGGAAUGCUAAUACCGCAUACGCCCUACGGGGGAAAGCAGGGGAUCUUCGGACCUUGCGCUAAUAGAUGAGCCUAAGUCAGAUUAGCUAGUUGGUGGGGUAAAGGCCUACCAAGGCGACGAUCUGUAGCGGGUCUGAGAGGAUGAUCCGCCACACUGGGACUGAGACACGGCCCAGACUCCUACGGGAGGCAGCAGUGGGGAAUAUUGGACAAUGGGCGAAAGCCUGAUCCAGCCAUGCCGCGUGUGUGAAGAAGGCCUUUUGGUUGUAAAGCACUUUAAGCGAGGAGGAGGCUACUGAGAUUAAUACUCUUGGAUAGUGGACGUUACUCGCAGAAUAAGCACCGGCUAACUCUGUGCCAGCAGCCGCGGUAAUACAGAGGGUGCGAGCGUUAAUCGGAUUUACUGGGCGUAAAGCGUGCGUAGGCGGCUUUUUAAGUCGGAUGUGAAAUCCNUGAGCUUAACUUAGGAAUUGCAUUCGAUACUGGGAAGCUAGAGUAUGGGAGAGGAUGGUAGAAUUCCAGGUGUAGCGGUGAAAUGCGUAGAGAUCUGGAGGAAUACCGAUGGCGAAGGCAGCCAUCUGGCCUAAUACUGACGCUGAGGUACGAAAGCAUGGGGAGCAAACAGGAUUAGAUACCCUGGUAGUCCAUGCCGUAAACGAUGUCUACUAGCCGUCGGGGCCUUUGGGGCUUUAGUGGCGCAGCUAACGCGAUAAGUAGACCGCCUGGGGAGUACGGUCGCAAGACUAAAACUCAAAUGAAUUGACGGGGGCCCGCACAAGCGGUGGAGCAUGUGGUUUAAUUCGAUGCAACGCGAAGAACCUUACCUGGUCUUGACAUAGUAAGAACUUUCCAGAGAUGGAUUGGUGCCUUCGGGAACUUACAUACAGGUGCUGCAUGGCUGUCGUCAGCUCGUGUCGUGGGAUGUUGGGUUAAGUCCCGCAACGAGCGCAACCCUUUUCCUUAUUUGCCAGCGGGUUAAGCCGGGAACUUUAAGGAUACUGCCAGUGACAAACUGGAGGAAGGCGGGGACGACGUCAAGUCAUCAUGGCCCUUACGACCAGGGCUACACACGUGCUACAAUGGUCGGUACAAAGGGUUGCUACCUAGCGAUAGGAUGCUAAUCUCAAAAAGCCGAUCGUAGUCCGGAUUGGAGUCUGCAACUC
RNAcentral lists this ribosomal RNA (1237 nucleotides) under uncultured Acinetobacter sp. Its description in RNAcentral is "bacterial SSU rRNA". It matches the Rfam family "Bacterial small subunit ribosomal RNA", at positions 81 to 1313 of the family's 1533-position model. Lineage: Bacteria; Pseudomonadati; Pseudomonadota; Gammaproteobacteria; Moraxellales; Moraxellaceae. The record is from RNAcentral.